This 533-nucleotide ribosomal RNA is filed under the name uncultured bacterium. RNAcentral describes it as "bacterial SSU rRNA". It matches the Rfam family "Bacterial small subunit ribosomal RNA", at positions 977 to 1509 of the family's 1533-position model. The record is from RNAcentral.
GGCCUUGACAUACUAAGAACUUUCCAGAGAUGGAUUGGUGCCUUCGGGAACUUAGAUACAGGUGCUGCAUGGCUGUCGUCAGCUCGUGUCGUGAGAUGUUGGGUUAAGUCCCGNAACGAGCGCAACCCUUUUCCUAUUUGCCAGCGGGUCAUGCCGGGAACUUUAAGGAUACUGCCAGUGACAAACUGGAGGAAGGCGGGGACGACGUCAAGUCAUCAUGGCCCUUACGGCCAGGGCUACACACGUGCUACAAUGGUCGGUACAAAGGGUUGCUACCUCGCGAGAGGAUGCUAAUCUCAAAAAAGCCGAUCGUAGUCCGGAUCGCAGUCUGCAACUCGACUGCGUGAAGUCGGAAUCGCUAGUAAUCGCGGAUCAGAAUGCCGCGGUGAAUACGUUCCCGGGCUUUGUACACACCGCCCGUCACACCAUGGGAGUUUGUUGCACCAGAAGUAGGUAGUCUAACCGCAAGGAGGACGCUUACCACGGUGUGGCCGAUGACUGGGGUGAAGUCGUAACAAGGUAAGCGUAGAUGA